GAACAUGAUGGAAAGGAACGGUAGUAUGAGUACAGUGCCCCAGAAAUACACAAAGUCAGCUGUGGUUGUCAAGAUGGCGCAAUGGCCUUUCUUUGGUCCAGCUCAUCAGAGCCCUGGGGGAACUGCCACCGGCAGACCGAGGAGAGUUUGUACAUAAGGAGAGGGAUGAGCCGAGAGACAGACCCUGGGCAGGGGAGGAGCUGAGAGCCAAAGGCCAGACACCACUCAGUCCUCACCAGUUGGCAUACUGGACCACGCUGUGUCCAAACCCAGCACUGUCCACACGGAAAAUUGUCGGCUGGUCUGUGUCCAAGUUGAAGCAGAGAGAGGAAGCUAGCGCUGGAGAGGAGGGCGAGAGGACAAGCUUCGGAGAAGAGUCUUCCUCCUGCUCCAUUCCCCCCCAGUCCCCAGCCACCCCCAUCUCCCACCAGCUCUCCCCUCCAGGCACAACACCCCACCAUCUCCUGGUCUUCCAGACCCUCAGGCUCAAGCUUGCCAGCCCUGCUUCUCUCCCUCCCUUAAUCCAGAGAUAGCUCUUCACCAACCAGCCUUUCAGCAGGUUUCAGUUCUCCAUUUCCACAGAGCAACAGCCAAGCUCCAAAGACACUCCUUCCCCACCCCUACACCUGGGCUCCUAUGAGAAGGACUCCAGGAAAACUUGGGGCCAAAGGGAUGCUGUGGAUGGGUUGACUUAUUCUGCCUGCUUGAGAAACCUCUGGAUUGUGCCGGCACCUAGCCUCUCUUCCAGCAUCUUUGAACACCCCCCAAAUAGAUUCCUCAGUAUCUUCUCAACCUCCUUGAACUUCAGAUCCCAACCCGAGAUAACUCAAGAUCCCUCCCUUAAUUGCUGAGUGCAAAACGCGUGUCCUCAGCCCUCUCUCUCUCUGCACCCCCAUCCCCUCCUCCCCCUUCAUGGAGAUCCCCGGCUUACCCAGCACCAGGAGGAGGCCGAUCCUGGUUCCCAUCAUGAUUGGAAGGUCAGAUGUGGGCAUCAGGGUGCCUGAGCCACCAGGAGAAGAGCUGGACCAAGGUACCAAGGAAGCAAACGUGGGUUCCGCGCCUGAUGGCUGGACGAGGUCAGGAUACUGGAGGGGGAAGACUCCAUCUCUUCUCUGAAGCCACUCAACAGACUUCCAGGAUGCUUCGGAGCAAAGCCAAGGUAAGACCCCUUGCCUUGAGCAAGGAUAACUUGGAUCAUAAAAGUGCAGAGCAGGAUGUGUCCUUAGGUCAACCCACCCAUUUUACAGAUGAAGGCACUGAGGCUCCAGCUGAGACCUUAGGGUGUCUGGGACUCAUCGCCCCACUGCCAUGAAUCAUGACUUUGACAUUUCCAGAAGAAGGAUGGCAACCCAGGGGGAUGUUAUAAGGCUGUAAGCAAGGAAGGGCCGGACACCCAAGUUACUCAUCUCCUCAACCCAGCACGGUUACGAGUCAGUCACAUGCAGCUUUGUCCACCUGCACCCCCCACCCCCACCCCUCCCCGGCUGUUCAGAGCCCUGGCCAAGCCUGUGGCAAGAGGUCAAGGGCAGAGGAGGGUCUGCAGUGGUUUGGAGAAACAGUCAGCUUUUCCCACUGCUGGCAUUCCUGCCUCAGUAAGUUUCUGCUCUGUCCCUGAGCCCCAAGGUGCUAAAUGAAGAAGAUUCCAGAAGGAUGGUGGAGCAGGAGGGGCUACAUCUGAUCUGCCUCAUCCUGGGGGCGGGUGGGCAGGGGGUGGGCUGGUAGAGAAACCAGGACAAAAGCUGCAUUAAUCCAGAUCUGACUUGCCUGAGCUCAGUGGAAAUGAGUAAUUUGUGGUGUGUCUCCCGAGAUGUUUCUUUUCCUUGGGAAGAAGACAAUAGGAAUCUACUGGGCAGAAACCCCCAGACAUCUCGAUGCCUUUCGACCCCAGGCUCACCCACAGGGCCUGCCUGGAGGUCCUCUUAGAAAGCUUCUUGCUGCAAGCCAUCUGUCUCACUUCUCUAUCUUCAGAGGACAAUGUCCUACCUCGCCCUCAAGAAUUUUCUCAAAACAGAAUUUACUGUAAUUCCACGGCACAGAAACACACGGGCAUAGGGACGAAGGAAGGUGCUUCUCUCCAAAAGCAGCGGAAGCUUUCUAUUCUCCUAGAUCCCUUGUGUAACAGAUGAUUUGGGAUCACUAGAGGAUUUUAGCCAAUGCUUGGGAAGUUUGAGACAUGAAAGGGAGAAGCAGGCAUAAGGUAAUAACAUCUGGAUAGCAGAACAAAGGAGCUGUGAUGAUCCUAAUAUUUAUAUGCUGUGCACUUUAUUUUUCCCAGUUUUAUUGAGGCAUAAUUGACACACGGCACUGUGUCA
RNAcentral lists this long non-coding RNA (2312 nucleotides) under Sus scrofa (pig). Its description in RNAcentral is "lncRNA (ENSSSCG00040011086.1)". Lineage: Eukaryota; Metazoa; Chordata; Mammalia; Artiodactyla; Suidae. The record is from RNAcentral.